CUUUGUAGCCCUAUUAUAUUGUGUAGUAAAACUGUCAGAACUUGCAACCUAAGCUGAGUCAAGCCAGGUCAAUGCUUGGAUGGGAAAUCUCCAAGGAAAACCCAGGUGCUGAAGGA
This 116-nucleotide ribosomal RNA is filed under the name Chrysemys picta bellii (western painted turtle). Lineage: Eukaryota; Metazoa; Chordata; Testudines; Emydidae. The record is from RNAcentral.